GACGAACGCUGGCGGCGUGCUUAAUACAUGCAAGUCGAACGGAAAGGCCCUGCUUUUGUGGGGUGCUCGAGUGGCGAACGGGUGAGUAACACGUGAGUAACCUGCCCUUGACUUUGGGAUAACUUCAGGAAACUGGGGCUAAUACCGGAUAGGAUCUCCUGCUGCAUGGUGGGGGUUGGAAAGUUUCGGCGGUUGUGGAUGGACUCGCGGCUUAUCAGCUUGUUGGUGGGGUAGUGGCUUACCAAGGCUUUGACGGGUAGCCGGCCUGAGAGGGUGACCGGCCACAUUGGGACUGAGAUACGGCCCAGACUCCUACGGGAGGCAGCAGUGGGGAAUAUUGCACAAUGGGCGGAAGCCUGAUGCAGCAACGCCGCGUGCGGGAUGACGGCCUUCGGGUUGUAAACCGCUUUCGCCUGUGACGAAGCGUGAGUGACGGUAAUGGGUAAAGAAGCACCGGCUAACUACGUG
RNAcentral lists this ribosomal RNA (468 nucleotides) under uncultured bacterium. RNAcentral describes it as "partial 16S ribosomal RNA". It matches the Rfam family "Bacterial small subunit ribosomal RNA", at positions 28 to 507 of the family's 1533-position model. The record is from RNAcentral.